Molecule: non-coding RNA, 471 nt
Organism: Colossoma macropomum (tambaqui)
Lineage: Eukaryota; Metazoa; Chordata; Actinopteri; Characiformes; Serrasalmidae
Source: the annotation of a RefSeq genome assembly
AUGAGCUCCGUUUCUCUUCUGCUGUUUCUGGCAGCUGCUUCCUGUGUUCAUUCUAUUGAACUGAUCCAGUCUGAAAAUGUGGUUGUGCGGCCCGGAGAGUCUUUUAAGAUCUCCUGUAAAUUCUCUGGGUUCUCGCUAUCCAGCUACUGUCCACGUUGGAUACGGCAUCCAGCAGGAAAGCCAAUGGAAUAUAUGGGGCAUGUGUGCAGCAGCAGCAGCUCAGUGAAGGAUUCACUAAAGAGCAAAAUCAGCUUCACUGCAGACGCUUCCAGCAGCACAGUGUUUUUAACAGGGCAGAAUUUCCAGCCUGAGGACAGCGCUGUGUAUUACUGCGCUCGAUACACACAGUUAUUCAACCUGCUGCUGCAGCUGUACAAAAACACAACAGCCAGUGUCUUCAGUUCGAGUGUUGAAUGCAUUGAGCUGGUUCAGCCUGCUGCCAUGGUUGUUAAACCUGGCUUACAAUUUUGA